UCCCAGGUGGCUCAGAGGGUAAAGCGUCUGCUUGUAUUGCAGGAGACCUGGGUUCGAUCCCUGGGUAGGGAA
Transfer RNA from Ovis aries (sheep), 72 nucleotides. It matches the Rfam family "tRNA". From Rfam's summary of the family: Transfer RNA (tRNA) molecules are approximately 80 nucleotides in length. Their secondary structure includes four short double-helical elements and three loops (D, anti-codon, and T loops). Further hydrogen bonds mediate the characteristic L-shaped molecular structure. tRNAs have two regions of fundamental functional importance: the anti-codon, which is responsible for specific mRNA codon recognition, and the 3' end, to which the tRNAs corresponding amino acid is attached (by aminoacyl-tRNA synthetases). tRNAs cope with the degeneracy of the genetic code in two manners: having more than one tRNA (with a specific anti-codon) for a particular amino acid; and 'wobble' base-pairing, i.e. permitting non-standard base-pairing at the 3rd anti-codon position. NCBI's taxonomy places the organism in Eukaryota, Metazoa, Chordata, Mammalia, Artiodactyla, Bovidae. The record is from Rfam.